This 321-nucleotide ribosomal RNA is filed under the name Vibrio sp. B1Z05. RNAcentral's name for it is "bacterial SSU rRNA". It matches the Rfam family "Bacterial small subunit ribosomal RNA", at positions 1 to 307 of the family's 1533-position model. Lineage: Bacteria; Pseudomonadati; Pseudomonadota; Gammaproteobacteria; Vibrionales; Vibrionaceae. The record is from RNAcentral.
UUAAUUGAAGAGUUUGAUCAUGGCUCAGAUUGAACGCUGGCGGCAGGCCUAACACAUGCAAGUCGAGCGGAAACGAGUUGUCUGAACCUUCGGGGAACGAUAACGGCGUCGAGCGGCGGACGGGUGAGUAAUGCCUGGGAAAUUGCCCUGAUGUGGGGGAUAACUAUUGGAAACGAUAGCUAAUACCGCAUAACGUCUACGGACCAAAGAGGGGGACCUUCGGGCCUCUCGCUUCAGGAUAUGCCCAGGUGGGAUUAGCUAGUUGGUGAGGUAAUGGCUCACCAAGGCGACGAUCCCUAGCUGGUCUGAGAGGAUGAUCAG